UACGUAGGGGGCAAGCGUUGUCCGGAAUCAUUGGGCGUAAAGCGCGUGUAGGCGGUCCGGUAAGUCCGCUGUGAAAGUCGGGGGCUCAACCCUCGGAUGCCGGUGGAUACUGUCGGGCUUGAGUGCGGAAGAGGCGAGUGGAAUUCCUGGUGUAGCGGUGAAAUGCGCAGAUAUCAGGAGGAACACCAAUGGCGAAGGCAGCUCGCUGGGACGUUACUGACGCUGAGACGCGAAAGCGUGGGGAGCAAACAGG
This 253-nucleotide ribosomal RNA is filed under the name uncultured bacterium. Its description in RNAcentral is "partial 16S ribosomal RNA". It matches the Rfam family "Bacterial small subunit ribosomal RNA", at positions 524 to 776 of the family's 1533-position model. The record is from RNAcentral.